AAAUAAAGGAAGUGGAGGUGGGGGAAAAGGCUGGAGGUAACAAAAUUAGGUUGACCGUGACCCCAGGAGUAGUGGGAAUCAACAGCCUGCAAAACAGAAGACUAAUACCCGUAUAAUAGGAGAAAAGCGGCUUGGUCAUCAUAUUAAAGAGAUGGCUCUGCUAUCACAUGUGGUUGAACCCGCUGCGUAUUAGUUAGUUGUUGAGGUAUAGGCUCACCAAGGGCAGUUGAUACGUAGCGGACCUGAGAGGGUAAUCGGCCACAUUGGGACUGAGACACGGCCCAGACUCCUACGGGAGGCAGCAGUAGGGUAUCUUCCACAAUGGACGCAAGUCUGAUGGAGCCACGCCGCGUGAGUGAAGAAGGGUUUCGGCUCGUAAAGCUCUGUUGUUAAAGAAGUACGUGGGUAAGAGUAACUGUUUACCCAGUGACGGUAUUUAACCAGAAAGCCACGGCUAACUACGUGCCAGCAGCCGCGGUAAUACGUAGGUGGCAAGCGUUAUCCGGAUUUAUUGGGCGUAAAGCGAGCGCAGGCGGUCUUUUAAGUCUAAUGUGAAAGCCUUCGGCUCAACCCGCAAGAAGUGCAUUGGAAACUGGGAGACUUGAGUGCAGAAGAGGACAGUGGAACUCCAUGUGUAGCGGUGAAAUGUGUAGAUAUAUGGAAGAACACCAGUGGCGAAGGCGGCUGUCUGGUCUGCAACUGACGCUGAGGCUCGAAAGCAUGGGUAGCGAACAGGAUUAGAUACCCUGGUAGUCCAUGCCGUAAACGAUGAUUAAUAAGUGUUGGAGGGUUUCCGCCCUUCAGUGAUGCAGCUAACGCAUUAAGUAAUCCGCCUGGGGA
Molecule: ribosomal RNA, 840 nt
Filed under: Pediococcus pentosaceus
Lineage: Bacteria; Bacillati; Bacillota; Bacilli; Lactobacillales; Lactobacillaceae
Description: bacterial SSU rRNA
Rfam family: Bacterial small subunit ribosomal RNA
Source: RNAcentral